Canis lupus familiaris (dog) is the source of this 3039-nucleotide long non-coding RNA. RefSeq lists it as uncharacterized. The record is from RefSeq and is a predicted model, not a curated record. Lineage: Eukaryota; Metazoa; Chordata; Mammalia; Carnivora; Canidae. The transcript has 2 exons.
GGUGUGGGGGUGUGGGGGGGGUGGGGAGUCAGGUCAUGGAGACUGGCCAGGUGGAUGAUGUUAAAGACUACAAGAAAAUUCCAUCUGUAGGUCAUCCCAAUGAGGAGAGCACAUUGGAGAUACCUUAAUAGCAACAUUUGGCUAAAGGAAAAUCCCAGUGACAAUGACAUAGGAUGGUGUUUCUUCUUCAGGAUCCAGGCAAGUGGUUGAGUGCUCUAGACAGGGGUGAGGGCAGCGGCAGUAGGGCCCGUGUCAGCUGGCACAACGGCCAGGUGAGAGACACAUCAGGCUGCUGACGGCACCUCCCCCAGAGGGCCAGGGGCCGGCUUCACUCAGCAUGGGCACAGGGGUGCCACUGUUCCCCUGCACAGAGACCUGCUUGGAGCAAGGAGUGGGGUGCUCAGUGGGGGAUUUCCUAUUACGAGAGGCAGCACUGGCGACCAGACUCAAGGUAUAUAGUUACUGCCGGUUUCCUGAGCUGCCAAGGCCAAGACCAGUUUUACUAAGUCACCAGGUGUUAUUUUUAGACCCAGACUCACCGGGGAACCUGUGAUUUCCAAGCUUGGCCGGGGCCCCUGGGAUCUCCACGGAGGAGCCCAGGCCUUGAAGGCAGAGAAGAGGUGCCAGUGGCAGCUCAACACAACAUCCUUUGCUAAGCGGAAUGUGUGGCUCCUGCAGAAAGCCCAGUUUUAGGCCAUGUGGCAUGUGUUGGAGCUGAGCUGGUGUCUGACGGUGGAGACGAAUGAGGAGCCAUGCUCUGGCCAACGUGUAGCUGCACGUGGUGUGUGGCAUUUUGGGGCACUUAGGGAAGGGACAGCACAGAGUGUCUCCCCCCAGUUGGCUUGUUGGCCUCACACAUUCUCUGCAAACCCUAUUGGCAAGGUGGCGGGUCCCCUUCACCAGCUAGGGCCCACAAGCUCCAAAGUGUUUUCUCAAGGUUACACGACCAGGAGAGCUAAUGUAAGGAUCAUGGGGAUUUGGACCCAGUUCUGUCCUUCCUGUAUACCCACGGUUCUUAAUCAGAGGGGAGCAUCAGAAGUACUACAGAGCCUUUUAGAGAACCAUUCCCACCUACCACCCCCCAACUCCUGCCUCUGGAACUGGACUCGGAUCAGGGAAAGGGGAUGUGCAUCGGGCAUGCACACAUUUUAACAAAUGCUACUCUGAAGGUUGCGACGCCAGCGGCUGGGUGAGAGCUAGCGGUGCCCUCCUCUCUUACUCAUACAGGAUUUCCAACACUUGUGGGUUGCCUGAGGUGUUAGUCCCUGCUUUGCACACAGUAGGAAUACCGUAAAUAGUGGCUACUGAUGUAACUGUGUCUUUGGAAAAUUGAAUAUGGUUUUAGGCUGGUUCCUUCCCUUGCUGGGAGGACAGCAUUCAUGUUUGAUUUUAAAAAUACAGAAAAGGGAUCUCGAAUAGAGGUUGGGGUUCCAGUGUGUCUUGCUUGGUUGUACACACUACUGAAGAGGCACCUCUCCUUCCAGUGUGAACAAGGCAAGGUCCAAGUUCAUCUCUAUGGGAUGGGGUCUCUGGCUUUUUUAGCAACACCUGGAAAGCCAAAACAAGUCUCUAUGAUACAAGCAUAAUGGAUAUUCACAACUGGUGAAGUUCAGCCAGGCAGGUGGGAUCUGCUGGUAGGGGAGGGGGAUGGGACUAGCAUGGAAUGGGGGGCUGGGCUUGGUUCUGGGGAGCAGUCCCAUUUCUACCACCUUCUAGACCUGGGCUUUCUCCCUCAGUUUUUUUCAACUGAUAAACAGGGAUACACUAGCACCCUUCACAGGCUUGUCAUGGGCAAUUCAACAAGUCAACAUGUGCCUAGAAUAGUGAUAAUUCAGAACAAGCACAAUAAAGGUGAAGAAUUCAUGUUAUUAAACUUAGAUCUUGCACCCAAAAGAUUUCUAUAAUAGAAAAAAUACAAUUCACUGCACAAAAAAAUAAUACUGCAUAUUCGGGAAGUGUCUGAAGCAUAGGAUUGCGCUUCAGUUCUGAACAUGUCAGUUUUGAGAAUUCAUGUUAAAACACUUAGCUGUCUUUGCUUUUAUCUUUGAAGCAUUUUCCCAACAGAAACGAAUUUGUACAAUAUUCUAGAGACGCAUGUGUCUGUCAGUGUCCCCAGUGUGUCGAAAGACGACUAGCUGCUGAGUUUAAGCGACUUGCUCAAAGUUUAGGGAGGGCUACAUUAGCUGUUGGCAUUUGCUGACUCUAUAUUUCACACUCCAAACUCGACCCCCCAAGCGAACAAGAUCCACUGAGGGCCUCUGGACAGCUUGGUGGCAAGAAGACAACCAGAGCUGGUCCCCGCACCACAGACAGCAUCAGGGGCCCAGGAGCAGAGAAGGAAACAGAGUGGAGAUACUUACGCCAUGCUUAACGGUUUUUGCCGCGUGGGCUGCUUUCUUUUUUGCAUCAUAAUGAGUCAAAAUGUCAAUAAUGGCCAUAAAGUACACCUCUUUCCUGGGAGAGUCUGUAAAGGGAUGAGAGCAGUGAAUGUGGGACAAAUGCCACCCCCUGGAGAAGCGUGCCCUGGAGGGUGCAGGGUUCAGGACAGGGAUUGGAAGAGUCUGAAAACAAAGGCCCUGUACACUGAAGUUCAAACACAUUCUAAGGAAAAAAAAAACAACAACAACACAUUUUUUAUGCCCUCUUCUGUGUUUAUGGGAUGAGGAGAGAAGCAAAAUGGGUGAGGGGGGUUGGGGAAUACAAGGCUUCCAGUUACAGAAUGAGUAAGUCACAGGAAGGAAAAAGGCAUAGCAUAAGGAAUGUAGGCAGGGAUGUGGCAACAAUGCUGUGGACAGAUGGUAGCCACACUUGUGGUGAGCACAGCAUCACAUAUAAACUUGUCUAGUCAGUAUGUUCUACACCUGAAACUAAUGUAACUGCGUCAGCUAGCCUCGAAUAAAAAAAAGUGAUUAAAAAUAAAAUAGUAAUUUGCGAAAAAAAGUCCACAUAACUCCUGCGUAUCCCUGUUAAAUAGCUUAAUUCUCUGUUCUGAAUUCUCUCUCCAUUUAAAAGGCAAAAAAAAAAAAAAAAAAAAAAAAA